Molecule: ribosomal RNA, 216 nt
Filed under: Glomeromycotina sp.
Lineage: Eukaryota; Fungi; Glomeromycota
Description: partial small subunit ribosomal RNA
Rfam family: Eukaryotic small subunit ribosomal RNA (bases 44-216)
Source: RNAcentral
GGGUCAGUAGGUUGGUCGUGCCACCGGUACGUACUGGUCUCACUGAUUCCUCCUUCCUGAAGAACCGUAAUGCCAUCAAUUUGGUGUUGCGGGGAACCAGGACUGUUACUUUGAAAAAAUUAGAGUGUUUAAAGCAAGCUAACGCUUGAAUACAUUAGCAUGGAAUAAUGAAAUAGGACGAUCGAUCCUAUUUUGUCGGUUUCUAGGAUUGACGUA